Long non-coding RNA from Pantherophis guttatus, 456 nucleotides. RefSeq lists it as uncharacterized. The record is from RefSeq and is a predicted model, not a curated record. NCBI's taxonomy places the organism in Eukaryota, Metazoa, Chordata, Lepidosauria, Squamata, Colubridae.
GCUAAUAUGUUUGAAUCUCCAGGGUCCUACCCUAACUGUCAUAGUUAGCAGUAUAAAAGGAGAUUCUUGUCAGAAACUCUUUGCUCUUCGAUCUUCACUCGUCUUAGCUAUUUGGUCUUAGGUCUUAACUCUUCUAGGAUCAUCCGUUAAACAACUGUUACUCGAUCAAAACUUUUAAGAUUAGAGCACGGGAAGAAGGAAACAAGUUAAAUCAAUUCACAUUUGUAUCACCUUUUGUCGGAGAAUAUACUAACAUGAAUGGACCAGUACAAAGUGGCUUCGAUGAGUCCUUUUUCCGAGGGGUGAUUUGACUUCAAUCCAAUCAAACUGAAUCAUCCUAUUGAAACUCCGCACAACCUCAGCAUAAAGGAAGUCUAGCCGGGAUGUCCUUCAGCCAAGUACUUAAUUUUGCAAAAAUCUAUCUGUAAUUAAAGAAUCUGCUAGUACGAACUGUUA